This 469-nucleotide ribosomal RNA is filed under the name uncultured bacterium. RNAcentral describes it as "bacterial SSU rRNA". It matches the Rfam family "Bacterial small subunit ribosomal RNA", at positions 335 to 799 of the family's 1533-position model. The record is from RNAcentral.
ACUCCUACGGGAGGCAGCAGUGGGGAAUAUUGCACAAUGGGCGCAAGCCUGAUGCAGCCAUGCCGCGUGUAUGAAGACGGCCUUAUGGGUUGUAAACUACUUUUAUACAGGAAGAAACGUACCCUCGUGAGGGUGCCUGACGGUACUGUAGGAAUAAGCACCGGCUAACUCCGUGCCAGCAGCCGCGGUAAUACGGAGGGGUGCGAGCGUUAUCCGGAUUUAUUGGGUUUAAAGGGUCCGUAGGCGGAUUAAUAAGUCAGUGGUGAAAUCCCAUCGCUUAACGAUGGAACUGCCAUUGAUACUGUUAGUCUUGAAUGAGGGUGCAGUGGUUGGAAUGUGUAGUGUAGCGGUGAAAUGCAUAGAUAUUACACAGAACACCGAUUGCGAAGGCAGAUCACUAACCCUAAAUUGACGCUGAGGGACGAAAGCGUGGGGAGCGAACAGGAUUAGAUACCCUGGUAGGACAGAG